Molecule: ribosomal RNA, 254 nt
Filed under: uncultured bacterium
Lineage: Bacteria
Description: partial 16S ribosomal RNA
Rfam family: Bacterial small subunit ribosomal RNA
Source: RNAcentral
GACGGAUGGGGCAAGCGUUAUUGGUCAUUACUGGGUGUAGAGGGUACGUAGAUGGUUUUACUUUAUUUUUAUGAAAUGUUUGGGUUUAGCUUUCUCAUUUUAUAAAUACAUAAACGAAACUUGAGUUUUUUAGGCGUAAUAAGAAUUUUUCAUGGAGGGGUAAAAUCCGCUGAGGUCAAAAGGAAUGCUUAAGGCUAAUGCACGUUACGAUUGAAAACUGACAUUAAGGUACGAAGGUAUGGGGAGCAAACAGG